UUCAGAGAUAUUCCAGUAAUAGCAUUUUAUUGGAGGUUGUUUUACUUUUGUAAUUUUGCCAUUUUAUCUAUGAGAAAGUCUAAUUUUCAGUAAAUAAUCAUUAAAAUGAUGUUCCUUCUGUCUUUCCUUAAACUGCUGAUUCAUCCCCAUAUUUGAUAAGAGUCUGGGUAUGAAUCACACAAUAAAUGGCCAGCAAACUGCUGGGAGCUGUGGCUGAUGAGAAGCACUGCCCUGGCCUAGAGUUUCCUCAAGCAAGAAGAGAAUUUUCCACCCAAAUCACGGGGGGAAGAGAAAUAGAAAUCUAAAAUUAGCCUGGUUUUCAGGCCUGGAUCUUUUCCAAGAUGUUCAUACUGGAGCCCAACCUUCUCUAAGCCAACGGGGCUGAGUUCUCAGCAUGGAACGAUGGAAAUGGUGUUGGAGCAUUUGACACAUUUCUGCUCCAUGGACUACCAGUCCUCUCAGAUGGUAAAUUUACAUUCUUUAUCGAAUUGUAGGGUUUUGAAAUGUUCUAUAUAGCUGUGUUUAAGCUGUCAUUGUGGACAGUUGUGGCAGAACAAUAGAAAAUUUGUCUUGGUGGGUUCUCAGUGGAUGAUGAGGGAUGUGUGCUUUCCCAUCUGAAAUUGGUGGAUAAAGAGAUUGAGGUGGAAGCAGUUACUUAAAAAAACAGCUACCAUAAAUUUUACCCUUUUGUAGUUACUACAAAACAGCCUGCAGAAGUGGUACAUGUGAAAGCCAUGUGCUGAAGAAUUUCAGCAACAGCCAAGACUGAACAUGUGAACUUUAUGUGGGAACUUGAAUUACAUUUUACAUUGCAAUGUUGAGGAAGAAUAGUACCUGAUAAUAAGUAGAGCACAAUUUCUGUCUUUAGUUUUUAGUUCUGUCACUUAGUCACUGUGUAACCUUGGGUAAAUCAUUGAAGAUGACAUCUGCAGAAGGAUCCAGCAAUGCUGCCUUUCAUCCUGGAGACACCUACAAUACAAUCCAAGAAAUGUCUCUUUUUUUCUGCCUGAAAGAGUCUCAGAUCUAAAAACCUGAGGUUUGCACAUUUAAAACUUCCUGAAAAGAUUGGAUGUCAAAGAGGCAGGUCCCAGCUCCCCUUG
RNAcentral lists this long non-coding RNA (1100 nucleotides) under Taeniopygia guttata (zebra finch). RNAcentral's name for it is "lncRNA (ENSTGUG00000029493.1)". The record is from RNAcentral. Lineage: Eukaryota; Metazoa; Chordata; Aves; Passeriformes; Estrildidae.